CAACUCUCCGCACUGUUUCGUUUCCACAGAAAUAUCGUCCGCUUCGAACCAGCUUGGUUGGGCUGGUUGGGGGCAGCCAUGGGAUGCACGGCUUCGGUCUUCGGGAUUUGGGGCCGUCGAUUUCCAUUUGGGCUGGCGCCUUGCGAAUCUCACCGUUCGUUUGGUCUUCAUCGCAUCUCAUCUGUUCAUUCGUUGGUUCAACCAUCUUUCAUCCUCUGUCCAACGUUCGUCUGAGAGAUUUUCGAACUGCGAGUUCUUCUAUUGCUGAUGGGUUUCUGAGCAUACUGUUGAAUCCUCAAUUCCUUGCCCAAAUUUAUUCCAUAGUUUUUAUUCUUUGAGUUUAGUAUUGAUGCUGCAUUUUUGGUGGUGUAGGGUUAUGAGAGAGAAUUUUCAAAUCUUUGAUGACAAUGACAAUGCAGAGAUAGUUGUUUUGUGAUUUUGAUUGCUUAGAGGGUGACUUUUGCAUAGGAAUUAUUGAAGGAUGUGUCGAUUUGGGAGAGAAGAAUUAUAAGUGCAUUUACUGUGGUGCACUUUUUGGUUAAAAGAAUCCAUUCAGCAGGAUCUCCUAAAUACUUGGAGAAGACUGAGAAUUCCACAAAGCAUCGCAACUCUAACGACACUUGGCUGCUCACUUUAAAGAACAGUUUGUGGGUAUGGAAGUACUCUCAUACAGUUCUACACCAUGCUAUGAUACUUUUAAUUUAAGGUGGAAAUUGAUUGUGAAAAGCUCAAGUUCACAUCAAUUCAAUCUCCUAGGUUUUAGAAAAAACAAAGUUUUUGGUGCAAUUUGAUGUUAGAAAGAAGUUUUUGAGCUGUUACAAUUUAGAUCAGCCUUUCUUGAAGCAACUAAAUCACCAAGGAGGUUUUAGGUCAUUAGACACCGGUGAAAACUUCAAACAUGUUGGUCCAAUUUUAUCAAGUGGAAGCUCUGAUGGCUACGUAAUUAAAGGGGAAGAGAAUGAAAGUAUUUCGGAAACAGGGGAACCAGUAACUAAAGUUUUGAUUCCUGGUCUACCAGAUGAAUCCAAAGGUGAAUCAGGUGCGCCAGUAAAUAGUUGCUUUUGGGAAUGGAAGCCCGAAUUCAGUGUGCAUUAUGAGAAAGCUGGAUGUGAAACCUUAGGCUCCCUUCCAGUGCUGUUUUUGCCUAGUUUUGGGGUUGGUUCCUUUCACUAUGAGAAGCAACUGAAGGAGUUGGGGCUUGAUUUUUGAGUACGGGCUAAGCAGCUGAAUGGAUGAUUGGUGUAUACUAUGGUACUCCACAAGCGACAUUUGGAGGAAUUGCAUUAAAAUUCUUUGCCUCAGUUCGGCUUGAAAUACGUUCUACAGGGAAGAUAAAGUCUGUAAAUGGAGAGGAAGUAAUUGGAGUUCGGGUUCAUGUAAGAGUGCAAAAGAGCAAGGUAAUUUUGAAUGCAUCAAAAUGGAUUCUGUAUCUAUGAGGGUUGUACACCAUGUACAGAAAUAACAUUUCUAUUACUUUUGCCUUUAUGAUUACUUGAGCAGUAAUUGCACUUUCAAUAUAAAUUUCAUAACUGGUAUGAAGUAUGACAAGUUGUCUUGCCAAUUCUUAAAGGUUAUGUCUAAUUUCUCAAAGUUUUUUGUCCCAAUUCUACACUUUGCUAUAAGUGCAGCCUGUGACCAUGAAAACAAUUGUAACAAUCGACAAAUUGUUAAAUUCCCCUUUGAUUUUUCUGAUAUUAUGAAACUGCUUCCAUCCUUUUUGAAGGCUAAUGAUUUUGUUAUGAUAUUUGCUUAUGCUUUUGGACGAGAGACUUUUGUCGAUUGCAAUCUUCUGAUUCCCAGAUUUUGCCAAACCUUUAGUAAAACUUAAUGAUUGCAGUUAAUUAUAUCUCUUAUUUAAUGUGUUUCAUCCACUUUGUUAUGUUUCUAUUUUGAAAGAUGCUUAUCCUAUAUUUUUGUUGUUGUGUGGAUUUUCAAUUUUUGUAAGAUGUUAACCGUGUACGAGAGAGUCAAGAAGAGGCGGUGAGUAGAAGGAGGUUCUUCGCAGGCUAGACAAGGUUGAAAAUGGUUUUUUUUUUCUCUCCCUAUUUUCCUUCAAAACUUUUUGUUCACUUAUUCUCCUUGAAUUUUAUGUUCAAAGUAGUUAAAUUUUCGUCCAAAAUGUUUUAUUUGUGUUUCUUGAUUUGAAUGAAAGUUUGGUAUUUCAUCCUUCUUUUGGGGUUUCUUUCAUUUCAUACUGUCUUCGUAUUUUCCUUUUCCUUUUCCUUUUCCUUUUGGGUUUAUUAAAAUAUUGAUCAUAUUUUAAUAAACAUGACAAGCAACAUAUAAAACAUGUUAUUAGUCUUUAUUUUGUAACUUAAACUUGCUACAUAUUUUCACAACUUUGUAGACAUUUUAGACGAUUUUAAAACCGCAGCAUCACACGGAGACCUUUGCUAGUAAAUUACUAUGGUACUAAAAGAACAGCUGAAGCACUUAUUCCACUCCUCCAGUUAUCCGAUUCACCAAGAAUUGUUAACGUUUCUUCCUCCGCGGGGAAGUUAGUGAACAUACCAAGUGAUUGGGUCAAAGGCAUUUUUAAUUAGUGAUUCCGAUUACCUAACAGAAGAGAGAGUAGAUGAGGUAUUGACACAGCUACUAAAAGACUUCAAGGAGGGUUUUAUUGAAAGCAAGGGCUGGCCUGUUUUUCCUGCAUAUACAAGGAUUCUAGCCAAGAAAUACCCCAACUUCCGCAUCAAUUCUGUCAGCCCCGACUAUGUCAAGACAGAUAUAAACUUCAAUACCGGCAUCUUGUCCGUUGUAGAAAGUGCUGCAAGUGUUCUGAAGUUAGCAUUGCUGCCCUUCUGGCCUCUUCUUUGUUGGGUCUCAAGUAUCAUGUGCAUGAUUGAAGAUGAUCAAUUUGUUUCAAUGUAACAAAGUAUAUUGUUAAAAUUUAUGUACAUCAGUGAUGUGACAAGUUUGUUUGUUAACUAAAAUGCAUGCAUGCUCAUUAAUUUCUA
This is a long non-coding RNA of Prunus persica (peach), 2957 nucleotides long. RefSeq lists it as uncharacterized. Lineage: Eukaryota; Viridiplantae; Streptophyta; Magnoliopsida; Rosales; Rosaceae. The record is from RefSeq and is a predicted model, not a curated record. The transcript has 6 exons.